This is a long non-coding RNA of Rhinolophus ferrumequinum (greater horseshoe bat), 660 nucleotides long. RefSeq lists it as uncharacterized. Lineage: Eukaryota; Metazoa; Chordata; Mammalia; Chiroptera; Rhinolophidae. The transcript is spliced from 4 exons. The record is from RefSeq and is a predicted model, not a curated record.
CCUCAAGUCCAGCCCCAGCCAAUGCAGACCCACGCCCCGUGCCUUCUUUCUCAGAGCGCUUGAGGAACAGCUGCAAGUAGUCAUGGGCUGCAACCCCACUAAUCAGAGUCCUCGAGGAGUGAGUCCAGUCUGCCUAAGGUAGAUAAUCACCUCAUCCUAGGUGGAGAGGAAUUUGUGGCCUCAUACUUCAGACCAAAAUUGAAUCUUAUUUCCACCAGAUGUGUUCAAUAAAUGCAGAUGGGAAAUGAUAUCUCUUCAUUUCCAGGGAAUUUGUGGGUGGAGAAAAAGCUAGAAAGAGAAAAGCAAGGAGAAGCAAAACUGGAGAGAGAAGAGCCAAGCAACCUUGAGAUGGGCUGGAAGAAACUUUUUUGGAAGAGAAGUGCCAAACAACAAAUUCUCAGUUCAUGUUUCUCAUGGAUGGCAUUUCUUUAAUCGUAGCUGUGUCCCAAAAUUGAACCCUAUGUUUCCAGUUUAAGAAGAAUACUGCUUCUUUGACAUGAAAGCUUACUGGUCAGCAAUAAUAUUACUCCUACUCUGUCCAGUACAGUAACCACCAGCCUCAUGGGGCUAUCAAGUACUUGAAAUAUGACUAGUCUGGGUUGAGAUGCAUUGGAACUGCAAAACACACAUAAAACUUCAAACACCUAGUCAAAAAGAAAA